UACCAGCUCUCCGAGUGGUAGGGAUGAUUAUUGGGCUUAAAGCGUCCGUAGCCGGCUUAGCAAGUUUCCUGUUAAAUUCAGCGACCUAAUCGUUGAGCCGCGGGAAAUACUACUAGGCUAGGAGGCGGGAGAGGUCGACGGUACUUCUGGGGUAGGGGUGAAAUCCUAUAAUCCCGGGAGGACCACCAGUGGCGAAGGCUGUCGACUAGAACGCGCUCGACGGUGAGGGACGAAAGCUGGGGGAGCGAACCGGAUUAGAUACCCGGGUAGUCCCAGCUGUAAACGAUGCGGGCUAGGUGCUGGGGUGGCUACGUGCCACUUCAGUGCCGCAGGGAAGCCAUUAAGCCCGCCGCCUGGGGAGUACGGCCGCAAGGCUGAAACUUAAAGGAAUUGGCGGGGGAGCACCACCAGGCGUGAAGCCUGCGGUUU
This 429-nucleotide ribosomal RNA is filed under the name uncultured archaeon. Its description in RNAcentral is "bacterial SSU rRNA". It matches the Rfam family "Archaeal small subunit ribosomal RNA", at positions 474 to 903 of the family's 1478-position model. The record is from RNAcentral.